This 461-nucleotide ribosomal RNA is filed under the name uncultured bacterium. RNAcentral describes it as "partial 16S ribosomal RNA". It matches the Rfam family "Bacterial small subunit ribosomal RNA", at positions 338 to 795 of the family's 1533-position model. The record is from RNAcentral.
CCUACGGUGUGCAGCAGUGAGGAAUAUUGGUCAAUGGACGAGAGUCUGAACCAGCCAAGUAGCGUGAAGGAUGACUGCCCUAUGGGUUGUACACUUCUUUUAUAUGGGAAUAAAACGUUCAACGUGUGGGAUUUUGUAUGUACCAUAUGAAUAAGCAUCGGCUAACUCCGUGCCAGCAGCCGCGGUAAUACGGGGGGUGUAAGCGUUCUCCGGAUUUAUUGGGUGUAAAGGGUGCGUAGGCUGUGAGGUAAGUCAGCGGUGAAAUGCCCCCGCUCAACGGGGUGAAGUGCCAUUGAUACUGCCUUGCUGGAAUGCGGAUGCCGUGGGAGGAAUGUGUGGUGGAGCGGUGAAAUGCAUAGAUAUCACACAGAACACCGAUUGCGAAGGCAUCUCACGAAUCCGCGAUUGACGCUGAUGCACGAAAGCGUGGGUAUCAAACAGGAUUAGAUACCCCAGUAGUC